This 432-nucleotide ribosomal RNA is filed under the name uncultured bacterium. Its description in RNAcentral is "bacterial SSU rRNA". It matches the Rfam family "Bacterial small subunit ribosomal RNA", at positions 338 to 787 of the family's 1533-position model. The record is from RNAcentral.
CCUACGGGAGGCUGCAGUGGGGGAUAUUGCACAAUGGGGGGAACCCUGAUGCAGCGACGCCGCGUGAGCGAAGAAGUACCUCGGUAUGUAAAGCUCUAUCAGCAGGGAAGAAAAUGACGGUACCUGACUAAGAAGCCCCGGCUAAAUACGUGCCAGCAGCCGCGGUAAUACGUAUGGGGCAAGCGUUAUCCGGAUUUACUGGGUGUAAAGGGAGCGCAGGCGGCCUGCCAAGUCUGGUGUGAAAACCCGGGGCCCAACCCCGGGCCUGCAUUGGAAACUGGCGGGCUGGAGUGUCGGAGGGGCAGGCGGAAUUCCUAGUGUAGCGGUGAAAUGCGUAGAUAUUAGGAGGAACACCGGUGGCGAAGGCGGCCUGCUGGACGAUGACUGACGCUGAGGCUCGAAAGCGUGGGGAGCAAACAGGAUUAGAUACCC